RNAcentral lists this ribosomal RNA (459 nucleotides) under uncultured bacterium. RNAcentral describes it as "partial 16S ribosomal RNA". It matches the Rfam family "Bacterial small subunit ribosomal RNA", at positions 339 to 795 of the family's 1533-position model. The record is from RNAcentral.
CUACGGGACGCAGCAGUGAGGAAUAUUGGGCAAUGGACGCAAGUCUGACCCAGCCAUACCGCGUGCAGGAUGACUGCCCUAUGGGUUGUAAACUGCUUUUGUACGGGAAGAAAAAAUUUCACGAGUGAAGUACUGACGGUACCGUACGAAUAAGGAUCGGCUAACUCCGUGCCAGCAGCCGCGGUAAUACGGAGGAUCCAGGCGUUAUCCGGAUUUAUUAGGUUUAAAGGGUGCGUAGGCGGAAUAGUAAGUCAGUGGUGAAAUCCUGCAGCUCAACUGUAGAACUGCCAUUGAUACUGCUUUUCUUGAGUAUAGUUGAGGUGGGCGGAAUGUGUCAUGUAGCGGUGAAAUGCUUAGAUAUGACACAGAACACCAAUUGCGUAGGCAGCUCACUAAACUAUCACUGACGCUGAGGCACGAAAGCGUGGGGAGCGAACAGGAUUAGAUACCCCAGUAGUC